AGUACAGUGCGAAGGAUUAAUUCUUCAAGGCGCGCUCUGUCACUUUAUAGUGGAUGAGCUGAAUGCCAAGCUUGCUCUUGAAAAAUAUGAGGAAAUGUUUCCAGCAUUUACUGACUCCAGAGAAUGCAAAUUAUUGAAAAAACUUCUAGAAGCUCAUGAAGAACAGAACAGUGAAGCUUACACUGAAGCAGUAAGUUACACCUUUAAGACAUGUUGCAUUUUUAAAGGUUGACAGUAUAAAAAUUUCUUUUUCUUUGCAUUGAUAAAUUCUGAACAUUUAUUUGAAUGUGGUUCAACUUGCUUGUAUUUUUCAAAGACAAUGUCUUGCGUGUCCCACAGAUUAGUUCCAUUAAGCUUUGGAAAGAUGGCUCUGUGGUUUCGAACAUUUGCAGAGGACCACAGUUGGGUUCCCAGCGCUCCACAGCUCAGGACCAUCUGUAACUCGAGUUUCAGGGGAUCAGCGCCCUCUCCUGACCUCCAAGAGCACCAGGCAUACACAUUGUGCACAUGCAUUCAUACACAUAAAAUAAAUCAGCCUGGGUUU
This is a long non-coding RNA of Acomys russatus (golden spiny mouse), 544 nucleotides long. RefSeq lists it as uncharacterized. The transcript is spliced from 3 exons. The record is from RefSeq and is a predicted model, not a curated record. Lineage: Eukaryota; Metazoa; Chordata; Mammalia; Rodentia; Muridae.